Molecule: ribosomal RNA, 206 nt
Filed under: uncultured bacterium
Lineage: Bacteria
Description: partial 16S ribosomal RNA
Rfam family: Bacterial small subunit ribosomal RNA
Source: RNAcentral
AUUGUAGGCUGAAACUCGCCUACAUGAAGCUGGAGUUGCUAGUAAUCGCGAAUCAGCAUGUCGCGGUGAAUACGUUCCCGGGCCUUGUGCACACCGCCCGUCACACCAUGAGAGUUGGCAAUACCCAACGUACGUGAUCUAACCCGCAAGGGAGGAAGCGUCCUAAGGUAGGGUCAGCGAUUGGGGUGAAGUCGUAACAAGGUAUC